CAGAACGAACGCUGGCGGCGUGCUUAACACAUGCAAGUCGAACGCGAAAGGGACUUCGGUCCUGAGUAAAGUGGCGCACGGGUGAGUAACGCGUAGAUAACCUGUCUUCAUGUCUGGAAUAAUACGCCGAAAGGGGUACUAAUACCGGAUAUUCUUGCUUUUCAUAAGUUAUGCAAGCAAAGGUGGCCUCUGCAUAUGCUACUGCAUGAAGAGGGGUCUGCGUACCAUUAGCUAGUAGGUGGGGUAAUGGCCUACCUAGGCGGCGAUGGUUAGCGGGUCUGAGAGGAUGAUCCGCCACACUGGCACUGGAACACGGGCCAGACUCCUACGGGAGGCAGCAGUGAGGAAUAUUGCGCAAUGGGGGAAACCCUGACGCAGCGACGCCGCGUGAGUGAGGUAGGCCUUCGGGUCGUAAAGCUCUGUCAAGAGGAAAGAAGUGUACAAUGGCUAAUACCUGUUGUAUUUGACGGUACCUCUAAAGGAAGCACCGGCUAACUCCGUGCCAGCCGCCGC
RNAcentral lists this ribosomal RNA (513 nucleotides) under uncultured bacterium. RNAcentral describes it as "bacterial SSU rRNA". It matches the Rfam family "Bacterial small subunit ribosomal RNA", at positions 25 to 518 of the family's 1533-position model. The record is from RNAcentral.